This 253-nucleotide ribosomal RNA is filed under the name uncultured bacterium. RNAcentral describes it as "partial 16S ribosomal RNA". It matches the Rfam family "Bacterial small subunit ribosomal RNA", at positions 524 to 776 of the family's 1533-position model. The record is from RNAcentral.
UACAGAGGUGGCAAGCGUUGUUCGGAAUUACUGGGCGUAAAGGGCGAGUAGGUGGCCAUCUAAGUCAGACGUGAAAUCCCCCGGCUUAACCUGGGAACUGCGUCUGAUACUGGACGGCUUGAGUAUGGGAGAGGAACGUAGAAUUCCAGGUGUAGCGGUGAAAUGCGUAGAUAUCUGGAGGAACACCGGUGGCGAAGGCGGCAUCCUGGACCAAUAUUGACGCUGAGGAGCGAAAGCCAGGGGAGCAAACGGG